RNAcentral lists this long non-coding RNA (274 nucleotides) under Lathyrus oleraceus (garden pea). RNAcentral describes it as "Pisum sativum (pea) long non-coding RNA (PSAT_LNC024744)". Lineage: Eukaryota; Viridiplantae; Streptophyta; Magnoliopsida; Fabales; Fabaceae. The record is from RNAcentral.
UGGAGUCUUGUCAUUCACAGACUACCAUUCUAUUAAAUAAAGUUGAGCUUUUAUCCAAUUGUUUCUACUCUUAUUUAUUUCAGCCAAAUAGUUUUAAAUUUUAUUAUGAUCAUUUUUUAAAAUCAAAGUUUUAAUCAAAACAUGUUUUCUUAAACAUAUAAAAGCAAUAAUUUUAAAUAACCAAUUUCAUUUAAAAGGAAUAUCAACAAUGGUUCGAAAGCAGUAAGCCCUAAAUGUGGAGCAGUAUUGGUUCUCCCCAAGCAAUAGGCGCAAU